Papaver somniferum (opium poppy) is the source of this 2531-nucleotide long non-coding RNA. RefSeq lists it as uncharacterized. The record is from RefSeq and is a predicted model, not a curated record. NCBI's taxonomy places the organism in Eukaryota, Viridiplantae, Streptophyta, Magnoliopsida, Ranunculales, Papaveraceae. The transcript has 3 exons.
UAUUUCUUUUUAUCUCAUUCAACAAAUGUCAUCGAUUUCAUUUGCGAAAACCAGCUCUGAGUAGAAGUAGAGAUUUUGGUCCAUACUUAAGAUUAACUCACGUUCUGUAUUUGGCUAGAGACUGUAACAGAGUACGAAGCGAUAUUGAGGCAGUAAGCUUGGGAAGAGCUUGCAGCCAGGAGCUUGAGCAAAAGUUGGUAUUUUUGUUUGUCUAUAAUGUGUAUAUCACAGGGUUAUCUGGGUGGUUUUUAAUUUCUUGCUUAACCCAAGCUUGGGUAGUUUAUUUUGCUGUCGUCCCAUGUCAUUUUGAUGUGUUUUGCUAUUGUAUAUAUGAGGGGAUUUAGUAGAAAGCCCUUGCAUGGUUUGUAAGGAAAACUUUGUUAUGCCGAGAUCGAACAGUCUGCAUCAUUUUUUUGGAUCUACUGCAUAUGAAACUUGUCUUGAUGUCAAUUCAAAAAGUGUUGGCAUGUAGAUUGUGGAACGUUUUGUUUUGCUUUAUAUAUAAAUACUAUGAUCUUGCAUAAUGUUUAAUAUUCGGAGCAUCCAAGAUUGCUUGUAAAAAUAAUUUCAUUUUUCUUUUUAUCUAUGUUCUGUAGUCUAGUCUAAGUUUGAACUGCACACUUUAUUAUUAAGAGCAUUUGAUUACUAUGUCUGAGUCAUAUGGAAUAGUUUACUGAAUGCCUCAUAGUAUGUAUGUUUUGGGAAUCUCGUUCUUAUGUAAAAAUGAUUUGAAAUAAAAUAAACUAGUGUACUGUUUAAGUGUCUACUCCUUACGAAUUGUUUAGCUCUCAAGAAUUGAAUGUUAAUUUUACUUUUGAUCAAGCUUUUCAGCAACCAAGUGUAUUUGAGUACAUUUCUUUAAAUUUUAUUUUGUGGUAACCAGAAUUCAGAAACUAGAGAACUUUACCUGACUAUGUUGGAGCUGCGGUUACAAACUUUUAUCUCUUGUUUCUACGCAUGCCAGUGCGGUGGUCUUUAAUCCUUUGUUGCUCUUUUUUAAAUUGAACACAUUCUUUUUAUCUUGUUCCGGUUCCGAGUGAUUUUCAUUAUACUGGAUCAUGGAAAUGAAAUGUGUCGUUUUAGUAUUCGAGUGUCGUUUUACUCCAUACUUGUGACAUCUACAUAUAUUUUUUUAUUUUUAUUUUUCAACCCAGUCGGAACCAUUUUACUUCUUGUUUUUAAAAUGAAUGUAUAUUUUUAUUUUAACUUCCCGAGUGACGUACCGGGGAUUCGGCUCUGCUAAUUCGGGUUGAAAUCAACCCGUUAGAGGGGGAAUUCUCUGGUCCGUCACAACCACUUCUCCUCACAAGUAGCAGGUACCCUCGUCCCUGUAAAGAGCUUCAAAACAAUGAUUUGUCAAGAACUGACGGCAACCGAACCAGACAAAGUUUGAGCAUUGACUACCAGGGCGUCACCGCGGCAACUUCGAACAUGAUGAGUGCAUGACCAGAUUUUCAAGGGUUUAGUCAGUUCAGGAAUGCUUCAUAUACUUCAGAAAAGAAACUAGCAAGCAUCUCGAAGCGAGCUCCAACAAUUACUAAGGGAGAUAGAUAGUUCGGGGCUAAGGUCAUGAACCACAACUAUUAGCGAGGCUAGCCAGUAUGAUCCUACGACAGCAGAGUUGCGAGGAAUACCACGACACGACGACAACAAUCAACCACCUUUGAGUCAAGAAUUGCUUUGAAACUUUGCAUAAGACUAGGGGCAAGUAUGCAUACUGCUACACACAAUUUGUAUUCUUCUGCUCGGUUCCUUCAGCAACAGUGUAGAGCUAUGAAGCUCACUGCAAUGUUUACCAGAUGCGACAUUAAGUCGAAGUUAUCAACUGGCCCCAGCAAAGGAUCAGACUCGUAUUGGAAAAGGAAAUUCAGUUAAAACAGAGGAAAGCGAUCCAACAUCAGAAAUUUACAAGUGAGAUAGUCUCUUCGAGGAAAGCGAUCCACCAUUGAAAGCAACAGUCAGCAGCUUUGCAACACAAUCACAAUAACUAGUCACCAAGGCCAGACCCAGUUGAAUAGCCUCUUCGAAUCAUGAACCAUCCGUAUUCUGUUGUUUCGGAUUCAACCCGUUAAGACAUUCCAGACACCAACACCAUCUUGAGCAAGUGUUAAAACAGCUGUCCCGAAGAAAACUGCUACCAUCCAGGAAUUUCAACUUCAGGUGCAAGCUUAAACCGUUACACCGAGCCAGAGGUAUACCCAAGAAUUUCAAACAACCCAAGGUGGACUUUUCUUACAAGGCGAGAUACUUGACUCCGAGCCGAUCAUCUACCUCACCAUACAAUUACAAUAUCAAGGAAAGCUAGAGCCGAUCAAUGAUGAAGAUAACAUUACCACUAAACCUACAAUUGAAGUGUAUAUAUCGAGAAGUACAGAUUACUCGGGACUAAAGACGGGUAAAACGCACAAAAUCCGAAGGCCUGCUACUCGAAGCCCAAAAUCAAGCAACUCUCAGCCCAACAAAAAGCACAGGUGUGUUUGGAAAAAUAAGGCUUUGUGGCGAAAUUGGCUAAAAACGCGGCAUUUGGACCU